This 70-nucleotide transfer RNA is filed under the name Vespa mandarinia (Asian giant hornet). RNAcentral's name for it is "tRNA-Gln". RNAcentral also lists the same sequence under 1 other name. Lineage: Eukaryota; Metazoa; Arthropoda; Insecta; Hymenoptera; Vespidae. The record is from RNAcentral.
UAUAUUUUAAUGUAAAAAAGAGCAUAAAAAUUUUUGGGAUUUUAAGUGAUAAGAUAAUUAUCAAAUAUAA